UACGAAGGGGGCUAGCGUUGCUCGGAAUCACUGGGCGUAAAGGGUGCGUAGGCGGGGCUUUAAGGCAGGGGUGAAAUCCUGGAGCUCAACUCCAGAACUGCCUUUGAUACUGAAGAUCUUGAGUUCGGGAGAGGUGAGUGGAACUGCGAGUGUAGAGGUGAAAUUCGUAGAUAUUCGCAAGAACACCAGUGGCGAAGGCGGCUCACUGGUCCAUUACUGACGCUGAGGUGCGAAAGCGUGGGGAGCAAACAGG
RNAcentral lists this ribosomal RNA (253 nucleotides) under uncultured bacterium. RNAcentral describes it as "partial 16S ribosomal RNA". It matches the Rfam family "Bacterial small subunit ribosomal RNA", at positions 524 to 776 of the family's 1533-position model. The record is from RNAcentral.